GACGAACCGUGCGAACGUUAUUCGGAAUCACUGGGACUUAAAGCGCGUGUAGGCGGGACGGCACGUCGGUCGCUGAAAUCCCCCGGCUCAACCGGGGAACGGGCGCCGAUACGACCGCCCUGGAGGGACGUAGGGGGACCUGGAACUUCCGGUGGAGCGGUGAAAUGCGUUGAGAUCGGAAGGAACGCCCGUGGCGAAAGCGAGGUCCCGGACGUUUUCUGACGCUGAGACGCGAAAGCCAGGGGAGCGAACGGG
Molecule: ribosomal RNA, 255 nt
Filed under: uncultured bacterium
Lineage: Bacteria
Description: partial 16S ribosomal RNA
Rfam family: Bacterial small subunit ribosomal RNA
Source: RNAcentral